AUCAGGCAUGCACGGGCCUGUAAUCUCAGCUACUGGAGAGGGUGAGGUGGGAGGAUCAUUUGAGUCCAGGAGUUCUGGGCUUUAGUGCACUAUGCUAAAUGGGUGUCCACGCUAAAUUCUGCAUCAUAUGGUGACCUCCAGGGAGUGAGGAACCACUAGUUUGCCUAAGGAGGGGUGAACUGGCCCAGAUCAGAAAUGAAGCACUUCCAUGCUGAUCAGUAGAGGGAUCAUGCCUGUGAAUAGCCAUUGCACGGCAACCUGGGCAACAAGAGUGAAACUCUGUCUCAA
Chlorocebus sabaeus (green monkey) is the source of this 288-nucleotide non-coding RNA. It matches the Rfam family "Metazoan signal recognition particle RNA". From Rfam's summary of the family: The signal recognition particle (SRP) is a universally conserved ribonucleoprotein. It is involved in the co-translational targeting of proteins to membranes. The record is from Rfam. NCBI's taxonomy places the organism in Eukaryota, Metazoa, Chordata, Mammalia, Primates, Cercopithecidae.